Molecule: ribosomal RNA, 264 nt
Filed under: Salmonella enterica subsp. enterica serovar Agona str. 392869-1
Lineage: Bacteria; Pseudomonadati; Pseudomonadota; Gammaproteobacteria; Enterobacterales; Enterobacteriaceae
Description: partial 23S ribosomal RNA
Rfam family: Bacterial large subunit ribosomal RNA
Source: RNAcentral
GGUUAAGCGACUAAGCGUACACGGUGGAUGCCCUGGCAGUCAGAGGCGAUGAAGGGCGUGCUAAUCUGCGAUAAGCGCCGGUAAGGUGAUAUGAACCGUUAUAACCGGCGAUACCCGAAUGGGGAAACCCAGUGUGACUCGUCACACUAUCAUUAACUGAAUCCAUAGGUUAAUGAGGCGAACCGGGGGAACUGAAACAUCUAAGUACCCCGAGGAAAAGAAAUCAACCGAGAUUCCCCCAGUAGCGGCGAGCGAACGGGGAGG